This 664-nucleotide ribosomal RNA is filed under the name uncultured prokaryote. RNAcentral describes it as "bacterial SSU rRNA". It matches the Rfam family "Bacterial small subunit ribosomal RNA", at positions 524 to 1189 of the family's 1533-position model. The record is from RNAcentral.
UACGGAGGGUGCGAGCGUUAAUCGGAAUUACUGGGCGUAAAGCGCACGCAGGCGGUUUGUUAAGCUAGAUGUGAAAGCCCCGGGCUCAACCUGGGAUGGUCAUUUAGAACUGGCAGACUAGAGUCUUGGAGAGGGGAGUGGAAUUCCAGGUGUAGCGGUGAAAUGCGUAGAUAUCUGGAGGAACAUCAGUGGCGAAGGCGACUCCCUGGCCAAAGACUGACGCUCAUGUGCGAAAGUGUGGGUAGCGAACAGGAUUAGAUACCCUGGUAGUCCACACCGUAAACGCUGUCUACUAGCUGUGUGUGUCUUUAAGACGUGCGUAGCGAAGCAAACGCGCUAAGUAGACCGCCUGGGGAGUACGGCCGCAAGGUUAAAACUCAAAUGAAUUGACGGGGGCCCGCACAAGCGGUGGAGCAUGUGGUUUAAUUCGAUGCAACGCGAAGAACCUUACCUACACUUGACAUGCUGAGAAUUUACUAGAGAUAGUUUAGUGCCUUCGGGAACUCAGACACAGGUGCUGCAUGGCUGUCGUCAGCUCGUGUCGUGAGAUGUUGGGUUAAGUCCCGCAACGAGCGCAACCCUUGUCCUUAAUUGCCAGCAUUUGGUUGGGCACUCUAAGGAGACUGCCGGUGACAAACCGGAGGAAGGUGGGGACGACGUCAAG